Long non-coding RNA from Lontra canadensis (Northern American river otter), 230 nucleotides. RefSeq lists it as uncharacterized. The record is from RefSeq and is a predicted model, not a curated record. The transcript is spliced from 3 exons. NCBI's taxonomy places the organism in Eukaryota, Metazoa, Chordata, Mammalia, Carnivora, Mustelidae.
UCAUCCAGACUUCUGUGAUCCAUAAAUCUUAUCUUGGAGAGAUGAUUUCCUUGGGAGUGGGACAGUUCUGAUGCCAUCCAGAAUUACCAAGACUGUGGAUCUCCAGGAGCCUGACCUGGUGAGCACUGGGAAUUCAAGAGAAUGCCGACCAGCAUUCAGGUUGGAAGUUGAUUUCCCUGUUAGCUGAGUCUCUGCAUCUGCUCCUAAUGGAGAGUCUCAGAGUUUAGAAG